AUGGUACAGAAACUCAGAAGAGAGUCCUCCAGCUGAAGGACAUGUCUGGUAGAAGUAUUGAAGUAACUUUGUGGGGAAAUUUUUGCAAUGCAGAAGGUCAAACACUUCAGAGUUUGUGUGAUUCUGGGUCUUUCCCUGUCUUGGCAGUUAAAGCUGGUAGAGUAAAUGAUUUUAAUGGAAAAUCUAUAGGUACUAUAUCUACAAGCAAAUUGUUUAUAGAACCAGAUUUUCCUGAAGCUCUGAAAACAAAGGCAUGGUUUGAAAGGGAGGGAAAGAACAUGCCAUCUAUGUCAUUGUCACGAGAAGUGAGCAGUGUUGGUCGGACAGAUGUGCGGAAGACAAUAUCUCAAAUCAAAGAUGAGAAGUUGGGCACUUCUGAGAAACCAGAUUGGAUCACUAUAAGUGCCACUGUUACAUUUAUAAAAGUUGACAAUUUUUGCUAUACUGCAUGUCCCCUCAUGAUAGGAGAUAGACAGUGCAACAAAAAAGUGACAAAUAAUGGGGAUGGGAAAUGGCGGUGUGACAGGUGUGAUCAGACUGUUGAUGAAUGUGAAUACAGGUACAUACUUCAGUUCCAGAUUCAGGACCAUACUGGCUUAACAUGGGUUACUGCAUUUCAAGAAUGUGGUGACCAGAUAAUGGGUGCAUCUGCAAAAGAAUUGUAUUUCUUAAAAUAUGAGGAGCAGGAUGAUGAUAGGUUUGCAGAAAUCAUGCGUAAUGUGUUAUUCAACCAGUUUAUAUUUAAAUUGAAAGUGAAAGAAGAGAUGUAUAGUGAUGAGCAGCGUGUUAAGUCAACAGUGGUCAAAGCUGAGAUGCUUAACUUCCAACAAGAGACCAGGUUUCUGUUCGACCUGAUAAACAAGAUUAAUGGGCAGGAAUCCAGCACUUUAACUCCUAAGACAGGUGAUGCAACUCCAAAUUCAGGGUUUAAUAAUGCUGGAUUUGGGAAUAAACUGAAAGAACCAAUGAACCCUGUUGCAAGUUAUGGUGGCAGCCAUAUCAGCAGAGAUAGUGGACUGCAGGGAAAUCGGCAA
Molecule: unclassified non-coding RNA, 1034 nt
Filed under: Hevea brasiliensis (rubber tree)
Lineage: Eukaryota; Viridiplantae; Streptophyta; Magnoliopsida; Malpighiales; Euphorbiaceae
Source: RNAcentral